This 25-nucleotide transfer RNA is filed under the name Bucephala clangula (common goldeneye). RNAcentral's name for it is "tRNA-Thr". The record is from RNAcentral. Lineage: Eukaryota; Metazoa; Chordata; Aves; Anseriformes; Anatidae.
GUACUCUAGUAGUUUAUGAAAAACA